RNAcentral lists this ribosomal RNA (507 nucleotides) under Listeria monocytogenes. Its description in RNAcentral is "bacterial SSU rRNA". It matches the Rfam family "Bacterial small subunit ribosomal RNA", at positions 212 to 711 of the family's 1533-position model. Lineage: Bacteria; Bacillati; Bacillota; Bacilli; Caryophanales; Listeriaceae. The record is from RNAcentral.
CUAUCGCUUACAGAUGGGCCCGCGGUGCAUUAGCUAGUUGGUAGGGUAAUGGCCUACCAAGGCAACGAUGCAUAGCCGACCUGAGAGGGUGAUCGGCCACACUGGGACUGAGACACGGCCCAGACUCCUACGGGAGGCAGCAGUAGGGAAUCUUCCGCAAUGGACGAAAGUCUGACGGAGCAACGCCGCGUGUAUGAAGAAGGUUUUCGGAUCGUAAAGUACUGUUGUUAGAGAAGAACAAGGAUAAGAGUAACUGCUUGUCCCUUGACGGUAUCUAACCAGAAAGCCACGGCUAACUACGUGCCAGCAGCCGCGGUAAUACGUAGGUGGCAAGCGUUGUCCGGAUUUAUUGGGCGUAAAGCGCGCGCAGGCGGUCUUUUAAGUCUGAUGUGAAAGCCCCCGGCUUAACCGGGGAGGGUCAUUGGAAACUGGAAGACUGGAGUGCAGAAGAGGAGAGUGGAAUUCCACGUGUAGCGGUGAAAUGCGUAGAUAUGUGGAGGAACACCA